GACAUGUCAAAUCUUCAAACCCUCUACUCGGUCCAUCUCCUUAUUUUUAUGAAAUCUGUUUAGUCGAUUUAAACACUAUAUUAUAUUUGUAUUGAGUCUAUCCGUUCCUUCGCAUCAGAUUUCGGAACACAUAGUGUAUAACACGCAUACUAUAUCAAACACUUACAUCUACUAUUUACCCUCUUUGUAAUAACAUGAGCAACACGAC
RNAcentral lists this long non-coding RNA (208 nucleotides) under Mytilus galloprovincialis (Mediterranean mussel). The record is from RNAcentral. Lineage: Eukaryota; Metazoa; Mollusca; Bivalvia; Mytilida; Mytilidae.